Molecule: ribosomal RNA, 451 nt
Filed under: uncultured bacterium
Lineage: Bacteria
Description: partial 16S ribosomal RNA
Rfam family: Bacterial small subunit ribosomal RNA
Source: RNAcentral
UGGGGAAUAUUGCACAAUGGGCGCAAGCCUGAUGCAGCAACGCCGCGUGAGGGAUGACGGCCUUCGGGUUGUAAACCUCUUUUAGUAGGGAAGAAGCGAAAGUGACGGUACCUGCAGAAAAAGCACCGGCUAACUACGUGCCAGCAGCCGCGGUAAUACGUAGGGUGCGAGCGUUGUCCGGAAUUAUUGGGCGUAAAGAGCUCGUAGGCGGUCUGUCGCGUCUGCUGUGAAAACCCCGAGGCUCAACCUCGGGCCUGCAGUGGGUACGGGCAGACUAGAGUGCGGUAGGGAGAAUGGAAUCCUGGUGUAGCGUGGAAUGCGCAGAUAUCAGGAGGAACACCGAUGGCGAAGGCAGUUCUCUGGGCCGUAACUGACGCUGAGGAGCGAAAGCGUGGGGAGCGAACAGGAUUAGAUACCCUGGUAGUCCACGCCGUAAACGUUGGGCGCUAGA